GCUGUGGUACACGCUCGUCUUGGCAUCAUGUAAAUUGUCUGAAUCAAUCACAAUGGUGAAAACGUGGCGUCUUAAACAGUCUGUGUAUGCUAGGCGUGACUGAAGGGGAUUCUUUCACCAACAAUUGUAUUUAUUUAUAACUUUUAAGGAUGACCAGACUUUACCUGAUACUAGUGAUUGUGUGUAUUACUACCGCCGCUUCGCCCAAAAGAGCUCAAAAUAUUCUCACAGAUGAGGAUACCUCUGAAUGCUGUAAAAGAGGGAAUUGGGAUUCAUGUCUCUGUGAGGACAUGCACAGGGCUGGCAUCUGUGUAGAAAAACAAUGCUUUGGCUGCAAGGAAUGUAAAGUGAAAAUAUUUAAGUGAGGAUUGAAUGGUUACAAGGAAACGCUGUCUGCUUGAAUGUUACCGAAACAGUACAAAUGGAGAUUAUGCCAACUUAAAACAGCUCACUAUGUAUGUAAACCAAAGAAUGAAUAUAAUGACUGAGAGGAAUGCACACAAAUAACAAUUGAAAAAAAGGUUAUUCUUAGUUAUAUAUGUUGAAGGUAAUUAGCAUGCACAAGUAUCAAAAUUGAAAUAUAUAAUUUAUUUUACAUUUAUUCAAGGUGAUACUUUUUGUAUAAAUUGUUGAGCAUUUCUGCUAUUGAUACUGAUAAUAUUAUUUAACUUUUUCUACGGGAAAUAGUGGCAUUCUUCUACAAUAAUUGAUGACACUAUUCAAAUGUUUUAUAGGAUUUUCUAUUAUAAAAUAAUUUCUUUUCCAAAAUUAAUGUUGAAAAUAUUGUUAUUUUUCUACAAGUAAUGUUGAUAUUAUUUUGCAAUAAAUGUCAAUAGCAUUCUACAAUAAAAAGUAUAGUGAUAUUUUGUUUUACUAUUAUGAAAUAGCGAUAAUGGUUAUACUUUUCUACAAUACUUGGUUUACAAAGCUCUACUUUUCAUUUGAAUUUAAUUUUGAUUUUCUAAUUAAAGAAUUCGAAAAUUUAAAUCUGUCUAGCACGGUGGUGGAUGCUGUGCCCGUCCGCUGUCCAUAAGUGUGUUCAUAAAAAAGGUGCAUUGUAGCACAAUGUACACUUUUCGAUGACGUCAUGGUGUUGACUAUUUUUUUCAUAUUUUGCUUGUGUUUGUUUUAUUAUAAUAACAUUGGUAUUGUAAUGUGUAAUGUGUUGGGUACCAAAUGAAUAAUUAUUACUUCUGAUAUAUCGUGAACUAGGAAAACGAAACGAAAACCUGCCAGUGUCCAUCAAUAUAUGCCUGGGAAGAUGUAUCGUUUACCAUAGUGUCCUGCUGAUUAUCGGCAAAUAAUCUGCUAUUGUUAAGUGUAGCAUUAAUGUUUCUGGUCAAAUUCAUUGAAAAGGAACAGAAGUGUACCACAAAUUAAAUAAUAAUCAUCCAAGUUUUGAAAUUCAUAUGAUUAAGGCUUAUUGUCCACCCUCCGCUUUGUUUCACAAGUAGUUUAGUCCAAUUUGAAUUGGUGCAGUCACACAUGCGUUUCAUUCAAAGAGUAAGUGCUGGAGUCAUAUAAUAUUGACUAGAAAUGCAAACCUAAUAAAUCACAGCAAUUGUGCUCUCAUUUCUUUAAACAAAAAUAAAGCACAUUGCGAGUAACAGGAAUUUACUGUACACGUGAAAGUAUUUUGUUCGGAUCAUGUAUCCUCGCACAGGAAUUAGUUUGCCAUAGGGCACCUAGCUUACUCCAGACCAGACAUAAUAACACUUUUAAUCGUCAUUUGUUGAGGUUAUUUAACCAUUUUAUUACAGAUUAUGUCCGUUUGAAUCACAACUACUGGGCAUUUAAUAAUAUUGUCAGUUUAAUACUUAAUUAAGCACCUUUUAAAUAUUUUUCUGUCAUUUUUUCUGCUUUAAAUUGUUUUCAAAACUGCGUGAAUACAAUUACAUGUUACUUAAUAUGUCGACUGAACAAUAAAGUAUGGCAUUACACUA
Mizuhopecten yessoensis (Yesso scallop) is the source of this 1943-nucleotide long non-coding RNA. RefSeq lists it as uncharacterized. The transcript has 3 exons. NCBI's taxonomy places the organism in Eukaryota, Metazoa, Mollusca, Bivalvia, Pectinida, Pectinidae. The record is from RefSeq and is a predicted model, not a curated record.